Molecule: ribosomal RNA, 497 nt
Filed under: uncultured bacterium
Lineage: Bacteria
Description: partial 16S ribosomal RNA
Rfam family: Bacterial small subunit ribosomal RNA
Source: RNAcentral
GAUGAACGCUGGCGGCGUGCCUAAUACAUGCAAGUCGAGCGAACGGACGAGAAGCUUGUUUCUCUGAUGUUAGCGGCGGACGGGUGAGUAACACGUGGAUAACCUACCUAUAAGACUGGGAUAAUUUCGGGAAACCGGAGCUAAUACCGGAUAAUAUUUUGAACCGCAUGGUUCAAAAGUGAAAGACGGUCUUGCUGUCACUUAUAGAUGGAUCCUCGCUGCAUUAGCUAGUUGGUAAGGUAACGGCUUACCAAGGCAACGAUGCAUAGCCGACCUGAGAGAGUGAUCGGCCACACUGGAACUGAGACACGGACCAGACUCCUACGGGAGGCAGCAGUAGGGAAUCUUCCGCAAUGGGCGAGAGCCUGACGGAGCAACGCCGCGUUAGUGAUGAAGGUCUUCGGAUCGUAAAACUCUGUUAUUAGGGAAGAACAUAUGUGUAAGUAACUGUGCACAUCUUGACGGUACCUAAUCAGAAAGCCACGGCUAACUACGUG